Long non-coding RNA from Acanthopagrus latus (yellowfin seabream), 941 nucleotides. RefSeq lists it as uncharacterized. The transcript has 3 exons. The record is from RefSeq and is a predicted model, not a curated record. NCBI's taxonomy places the organism in Eukaryota, Metazoa, Chordata, Actinopteri, Spariformes, Sparidae.
AGUUGUUUCAGGAAAUCGGAGAAGUGCAAGGGAGGAGAGCAGGGAAACCGCAGAGCAUCAUGGGACGUGGAUGAGGGAACACAAGGAACUAAAAGUUACUCCAGAUAGCAGAGAGGAGAUCUGUGUGCCAGUCGCAAGUGCUGAAAGGGUGCAAAGGCUGAAAAGAGUCGGUGGAUUAUUCAUAAAACACCCACAUCUCCGCACCGAGCACAGAGACCGGCCUCCGCCCGCUGCAGUAACCACCAAGAAACACAAUGCCAAAGGAAUCAGUCUUCAAAAAGGUUGUGGGAUUGGAACCCACAACCUCCAAGCUGUGAGGCAACAGUGCCUGUACCCUGUGAGCUGGGUUCCAAAGUACAGACUUCAACUAACCAACUGGACAGACUGCAAUUUUGACCUCAUGGUUGGUGCCGGAUGUAAAGUCAGAGGACCACUAAAGCUAUUACAAAUCAUCCCGAGGGAGACAAGAAAGUCUGCAGUAAAUGUCAUGGAAAUCCAUACUAUAAUUUAUCCUCACAGGAGGAUGUAUUCAAAAUAACUCAAUUAGGUUUUCCUCAAGGACUAUAGUGUCAUGCUUUGUGGGCCUGUUAUGUUUUGAACAAAAGGAAGAUCCUCCCUGGAUUCCCUGGAGUCAGUUCCACUGAGUCACACGCAGUGAGCUGAGCACCAGCACUUCCCUCUGAACUAUCUAAUGUCUGUAAGCUGUUUUAUAUAGAGCAGGUACGCUGUCACCGCCUGAUCAGGCUCUUUAGUUUGCAAAAGCCUCAUUCAUAAUGUAGUGAGAAAAGAGUGCCGGUCACAAUUCCUGUUAUGUUGCAUUAAAUAGCUACUUAUCUUGUCAGCUCUGCAGUAGAGCAACUUUAUUUGAGUGAAACACCUACGUUGACUUUUUUGGUUGACCUCUGCUGUUCCCAGUAUCUGUGUACAGCGUGCUGUGAUGA